This is a long non-coding RNA of Amphibalanus amphitrite, 642 nucleotides long. RefSeq lists it as uncharacterized. The transcript has 3 exons. The record is from RefSeq and is a predicted model, not a curated record. Lineage: Eukaryota; Metazoa; Arthropoda; Thecostraca; Balanomorpha; Balanidae.
ACAUUUGGGCCGAACGACUUUGAACGCUGGCCACCGGACCAUCGAGUUCAACAACACAGAAAACCUGCGGGCGCUGAGGAAAUCCAGCAAACUCGCCUCCACCCAUCUGCACCGGUCCGAGAAGGACGUCAAAACGGACGUGGUGCGCCAGCACAAGAAACGGGGCACCAUCAAGGAGACUUGGAAGUCCAAACUGUCCAAAGGGGUGUUUGACCGACUGUACCGGCUCAAACUGCAUGUGCGGCGAGCUCACAACGUCACAGAGAACGUCAACCUCAUCACCAAGAAGGACGUCCGGUCCAGCACCCACAAGAGAGGGCCCCUCUUCCUGCCGCGCGGCAGAGCGGCGCACAAAGCAAUACAGGUUAUACCGGUCCGCAGGUCGAAAGAGAAGAAGGCACCAAACUAAAAUAAACGUAAAACUAAGGAGUGCAAGAAAUGUAAUGGUCUGGACAAAACACGUCUGGACGGUAAAUUAUGCAAUUCAUUAUGGAACAACAGUAGAAGCAGCGGGUGACGAUCAAUUUUGACAGUUUUUAUCCGACGGAAUCUUAUCGAGCGACUAGCAGUUCUUUUAUAGCAACAUGUAUGUACUGUCAACUGUGUUAGAGGCGAGGCCAUGCUGGAUUUAACGCCACAGGA